This 73-nucleotide transfer RNA is filed under the name Desmognathus quadramaculatus (black-bellied salamander). Its description in RNAcentral is "tRNA-His". It matches the Rfam family "tRNA". Rfam says of the family: Transfer RNA (tRNA) molecules are approximately 80 nucleotides in length. Their secondary structure includes four short double-helical elements and three loops (D, anti-codon, and T loops). Lineage: Eukaryota; Metazoa; Chordata; Amphibia; Caudata; Plethodontidae. The record is from RNAcentral.
UAAUGUAAAUAUAAUUUAAUUAAAAUACUAGAUUGUGAUUCUAGCAAUGAAAGUGAAACUCUUUCUAUGAACC